GGAGGGAUGGCCGAGUGGCUUAAGGCGGCGGUCUUGAAAACCGCUGUCCCGGGGAACUGGGACCGUAGGUUCGAAUCCUACUCCCUCCGCCA
RNAcentral lists this transfer RNA (92 nucleotides) under bacterium. RNAcentral's name for it is "tRNA-Ser". It matches the Rfam family "tRNA". Rfam says of the family: Transfer RNA (tRNA) molecules are approximately 80 nucleotides in length. RNAcentral also lists the same sequence under 1 other name. The record is from RNAcentral.